UUAAAGGUAUUUUCCGGUAGACGAUGGGGAUGCGUUCCAUUAGAUAGUAGGCGGGGUAACGGCCCACCUAGUCAACGAUGGAUAGGGGUUCUGAGAGGAAGGUCCCCCACAUUGGAACUGAGACACGGUGCAAACUCCUACGGGAGGCAGCAGUGAGGAAUAUUGGUCAAUGGGCGAUGGCCUGAACCAGCCAAGUAGCGUGAAGGAUGACUGCCCUAUGGGUUGUAAACUUCUUUUAUAAAGGAAUAAAGUCGGGUAUGCAUACCCGUUUGCAUGUACUUUAUGAAUAAGGAUCGGCUAACUCCGUGCCAGCAGCCGCGGUAAUACGGAGGAUCCGAGCGUUAUCCGGAUUUAUUGGGUUUAAAGGGAGCGUAGAUGGAUGUUUAAGUCAGUUGUGAAAGUUUGCGGCUCAACCGUAAAAUUGCAGUUGAUACUGGAUGUCUUGAGUGCAGUUGAGGCAGGCGGAAUUCGUGGUGUAGCGGUGAAAUGCUUAGAUAUCACGAAGAACUCCGAUUGCGAAGGCAGCCUGCUAAGCUGCAACUGACAUUGAGGCUCGAAAGUGUGGGUAUCAAACAGGAUUAGAUACCCUGGUAGUCCACACGGUAAACGAUGAAUACUCGCUGUUUGCGAUAUACGGCAAGCGGC
This 645-nucleotide ribosomal RNA is filed under the name uncultured bacterium. RNAcentral's name for it is "bacterial SSU rRNA". It matches the Rfam family "Bacterial small subunit ribosomal RNA", at positions 201 to 847 of the family's 1533-position model. The record is from RNAcentral.